UCCUCCCAGCCCCGCCUCUGAAAAAAAACCCCCGACCCCGCACGCCUCCUCUUCGUCCACGAUGCCGCCUCCCGUUGUCUCCCCUUCCCUUCCUCCUCCGCCGCCGACGUCCGCCCGGCCGCCCCCGUGCAGCCUCCUCUUCGAGGACGGCGCCCCUCUCUCUUGCUCUACCCACUGCCUCUGCUCUCUCCCUUCCUCUGCCCGCUGCAAUCAGAGCCGCCGCCGCUUCCUUCCUGCGCCAGUUCCCGCCGCCAAGGACGGGCGUGUGAAGAGAGGGCUGCCGGCCUCCACCCGCUGUCCCUGCCCCCGCCGUUCACCGCCCCCGCGCUCCUCCUCAUCGAGCUGCCUCCGCCGCCCCCGCCCCUGCCCUCCUGGUCGGGGGCGGAGGGAUGGAGAUGGGGCCUACGGCGGCGGCGGGGACGUUGACGGAUGUGUGACGUGUCGGUAAUGCUCGAUGUUGCCGGUACGAGCUGGUCCGUGACUUCGAGGCCGGCCACUUCGGCGUCGCCCACCUCAUGCGCUGACGUGCCUCCAGCGACCUCGUCGCCGUCAAAUACAUCGACCACGGCGAGAAGGUACGGCCCAGAAAUCUGCCGUCCCUCCACUUCAGUUAAUUGAUUCCACCACGACACGGGCACAGCACCAAAGUUCCAUGCCCUCUGAUAGCUUGAUGUGUGUCAGUGUGUGUGCAUAUUGAUGAGAACGUGCAGAGGGAAAUCAUCAAUCACAGGUCAUUGCCGCACCAAAACAUCAUCCGGUUCAAGGAGGUUGUUAUGCGGAUCCGUGAUACUGUCGAUUGGAGUCUCGUAUUUCGAUUGACAUGUGGAAUGAUGCAAAGAGGGUGUCUCUCCGUUUGUUUGCGGUUCUUCAGGUUAAUUAUUCCGAGGUUAAUUAUUCCGAUGCCGACGCAUCUGCGAUCGUCAUGGAGUAUGGCAGUAUGCCUCCGGCGAGGAUCUCUUCCAACCAUCUGCACAAUGUUGGUCGAGUCAGCGAUGACGAGGUCUCUCUGUACUCGAUUGCUUGCUAAUCUGGCCCUAUCUUUUGAUCAAGUGUGUGUGAUCAUACAUUUGUUGGUUACAUGUAUUGGUUAACUCUUGAGUUUCUCUUUAUUUUCAGGCCCGUUUCUUUUUCCAGCAGCUAGCUGGUAUCUGGAGUUAGCUACUGCCAUUCCAUGGUACUCCCAGUUUUGUUUUGCACAAAAAAUAUUUUCCUUCACAAUUUAUGUUUUCACCAUUUCUGAAGCAAGUAUGCCAGUCUGCUGGAUGGGAGCAAGGCUCCUCGACUGAAGAUAUGCGACUUGGUUAUUUGAAGGUACUUGGAAGUCAAACAACGCAAUGUUACGAAGAAUCACAUAUCUGAUGUUAUUGCUCAGGCAAGGACUAAGUGUUGUGUUUACUAUGGAAAUCCUUUGUCAUGUCGCUCAUAAAAUAAAUACUGAGUCAUAUAAGCCUUUCUUGCUGUUCUCUUUCAACAAAGACAUCUGGAUUGGUUGUCUUCCAUGUUGCUUACCGAAUGACAUCAAUGUUUCACAUGAAACCAAAUAAAAGGUCAUUUAAUUCGACACAAAUGGUGAAAUAAUUAUAUUUCAAAUUUUGAAGAGUCAUUUUUCAAUCCGUUGCAUCGCACGGGCUUUGUAGCCUCCGCUUCAUGGCCUCCUCGCCCUUCGCCUCGGGACGUCAAAGGCGUGACCAGUAGACGGUGCCACUGCUCCAUCACCGGCUCCCUCCCAACCAAUUUCACGCCCCUUACAAAAUUAGCUAAAUUCACAUAGAAUUCAUCAAAUUUAGUUAUUUUGUAAGAGAUUUGCCCCUCCAUGAUCAAAUUCGCCCCUCUUAAAGUUGAGUCCUGGAUCCGUCCCUGCUCAGUGUAGAUAACUUUUGCUCGCGUGCUAACAAAAUGAAUUCCAAGGAACUCAAGUUUGAAGCUCAUGAAAGGGAUGUAAAACCAGGCAAAGAGAACAUGCAAGCUAGCACGUUGAUUCUGGAGAAGCAUUGCGGACAAACGGAAAUAGUAUAAAUUAAGUAUAUUUACCUUUAAUAACUCAUCUCUUCCAGGGCCAUAUAAGACUUUAAUCUUCUUUUUAGUCCUUUCUUGUAAAAAGAGGCUUCACAACCUGGUCAUGGGUGAACAGAAACUCUAAUUAAGUAUAACUCAUCUCUCCACCCUAUAUCUAUAUUUAUUAAUAAUCUUAUGCCGGCUCCUUUAGUUUAAGUAUUUAACAGGUGAUCAAUUUGCAUCCAUCUGCUUUCAUAUACUCUGCAGAUCAUUGAGGCGAAACAUUGUCAGCCUUUUUCUUUUAGGUAAGUUUUGUAAAUUCAAGACAGCGGAGGUGCUAAUUUCUUAAAUUCCUAUAAAAAAAGCCUUGUGGUGGUGGCAGUACGUCGCCACCCCUCCCUGCAUAUGAAAUAUGUAUUGCUGGUAUCUUUAAGGGCCUCCCAUAUGGUUACCACAUAUGACAAUAAUAUUGUCAGAUUUAUUUCUAAUUGCCUCCAUAUAGUAGGAAUCUUAUUAUUGAAUUUUCAAUGGAAACUUUUCUCAGGAUAAGAUUUUUCUCGGUAGCUUUAUGUAGUCCUGCAAAUGCAAGAGUCAUGUAUAGUCUCUUGAGUUAACCAUUUAAGACAGGACUAACACAUGUGGCUUUUGUAAGCAUUACUAUCUUAAAUCCUUUAAGAUGCAAACUUCUGCUGAAUGGCUUUCUUUCCUGGAUUAACCGGUGAUCAUAUCUAUUGUACUAGGGUUAACUUAUGCUUGUGUGCUACUAAGAGAAGUGUACAUGUUGAUUGGUAACAAGGAAGGGGGGCUGUGAGGAGGGUAACAUACAUUCUUUUGGGGGUUGACCCAGAACCAUUCUGUGGUUGUUGAUUUGUUAAAUUUUGAGAGUGUGAAACACUAUUUAAAGUUAACGAUUAGCAAUUGCAAUUGCUAUUUUGGUAUUUGAAGAGCUUCCACGGGCACUGCAAGUUACUAAAAGUAAAUAUUGAAGGGUUCGAAAGAAAUUCUUUACAUAGCACAGAAAUGGGAAUUUUAUUUCUCAAGGACACAUACCAGUGUAUAUUAUUUGGCAUCUAUUCCCAUACUUGUUUUCUUAUUUUGAUGUAAGAACUACAUUGCAUUCAAAUUUCCUUACAAGACAAACUGUUUAAACUUAUUCAUAACUCUGGAAAUUUAUAUUAUCAAAGAGUUACUAAUAAAGCGAAAUCCCAUAGAAAAGUUUUGUAGCUUUACUGCAUGGGCGAGCACUUGUUAAUCUGGAAAGGCAUGGGCGAGCACUCGUCAAUCUUUACAAGCAUGAAAACUUUUGUAGCUUACAUCGUUGACUUGGCUUCUCUAUAACCCCGUUUUCAGCUAUGGUUUGGAUGGUGGUGUGAUUACUGAUGAUCUGGAAAAGGCAUCAGCAACUUGGAAAGGUCGAUUAAACUUGGCUUAUAAUGUACACAUCACGUAUUGAGAAUGCAGCCAUCAAAUUAUGAAGGCGAGAUAAAUCCUUGGUGUGCACGAACUGAAUCUUCUGUAAAUUGCUCUUGCAGUCAUUAUAUGGCCAAAACCGUUACAAAUUAUGACAGUGAUCAAGCCUGUGACAGAUACAUUUGCUGAAAUGUUGCUAAAGUGAAAAAAAAAUAUUCACUUGCUUUUUAGUAAA
Molecule: long non-coding RNA, 3640 nt
Organism: Brachypodium distachyon (stiff brome)
Lineage: Eukaryota; Viridiplantae; Streptophyta; Magnoliopsida; Poales; Poaceae
Exons: 2
Source: RefSeq, a predicted model, not a curated record